Non-coding RNA from Acanthosepion pharaonis, 113 nucleotides. The record is from the annotation of a GenBank genome assembly. NCBI's taxonomy places the organism in Eukaryota, Metazoa, Mollusca, Cephalopoda, Sepiida, Sepiidae.
UACAGCCGUAUCACGUUGAAACACUGGUUCUCAUCUGAUCACUGAAGUUAAGCAAUGUUGAACCCAGUCAGUACCUAGAUGGGUGACUGCUUGGGAAUACCAGGUGCUGUAAG